This 378-nucleotide ribosomal RNA is filed under the name uncultured bacterium. RNAcentral's name for it is "bacterial SSU rRNA". It matches the Rfam family "Bacterial small subunit ribosomal RNA", at positions 521 to 896 of the family's 1533-position model. The record is from RNAcentral.
UAAUACGAAGGGGGCGAGCGUUAUUCGGAAUCACUGGGCGUAAAGAGUGUGUAGGUGGCAAUUUAAGUCAGUCGUUAAAGAUCACGGCUUAACCGUGAGAGUGCGAUUGAUACUGGGUAGCUAGAGGACAAGAGAGAGAAGUGGAAUUCUCGGAGUAGCGGUAAAAUGCGUAGAUCUCGAGAGGAACACCGAUUGCGAAGGCAGCUUCUUGGCUUGUUACUGACACUGAGACACGAAAGCGUGGGGAGCAAACAGGAUUAGAUACCCUGGUAGUCCACGCCGUAAACGAUGAUCACUAGAUGUGGGCUGGGUUUAUCCCGAUCCGUGUCGAAGCUAACGCGUUAAGUGAUCCGCCUGGGGAGUACGGUCGCAAGAUUA